Molecule: ribosomal RNA, 361 nt
Filed under: uncultured bacterium
Lineage: Bacteria
Description: bacterial SSU rRNA
Rfam family: Bacterial small subunit ribosomal RNA
Source: RNAcentral
AGCGAACGCUGGCGGCAGGCUUAACACAUGCAAGUCGAGCGGGCGUAGCAAUACGUCAGCGGCAGACGGGUGAGUAACGCGUGGGAACAUACCUUUUGGUUCGGAACAACACAGGGAAACUUGUGCUAAUACCGGAUAAGCCCUUACGGGGAAAGAUUUAUCGCCGAAAGAUUGGCCCGCGUCUGAUUAGCUAGUUGGUGAGGUAACGGCUCACCAAGGCGACGAUCAGUAGCGGUCUGAGAGGAUGAUCAGCCACCAUUGGGACUGAGACACGGCCCAAACUCCUACGGGAGGCAGCAGGUGGGGAAUAUUGGACAAUGGGCGCAAGCCUGAUCCAGCCAUGCCGCGUGAGUGAUGAAGG